GGCAAACCAAACUAGCAGUGCCCCAGCAUAUUUUGAAAAGCACUUAAAUGCUUCUUGAAGUGCCUGACUUCCAGGCACAUAUAAAUUUCUAGAACCAUCAACAAUCAAUGAUAAAUGAGAGAGGAAAUUGGCUCCAAAUCCAUACGGCAUAAGAGGAUCAAUUGGGAACAUUUCUGAUGAACCCCAAUCACCAUCCAUGAAAUUGUUCCGCAUUUUUAGUUAUCAGUUCCUACAAGGGCCUUAUAGCCCCCCUAUCACUACCGAUACGGGCAGAAAUCACCUGAAAAUGUGAGUGGAUCAAGAAAAAAAAAAGAUUCUUGGAUUGAGAUUAAAGUACGUUAGGGUUUAUGAAUGAGUUUGUUAAUUAUCCCCUUAAAGGAAAGAAUAUGCUUUAUGGUUCUAGAAAAGAAACGAGAAAAAAGGUAUCUUUAUUGUUCCACCUUUUUAUUAUAAAUGGAAUGAAUCAUAAGAAGAAUAUAAUAUUGGAAAUUUAAAGAAAAAAAGGGAAAGCCGCAUGUUGAAUUAGAG
Molecule: unclassified non-coding RNA, 528 nt
Filed under: Hevea brasiliensis (rubber tree)
Lineage: Eukaryota; Viridiplantae; Streptophyta; Magnoliopsida; Malpighiales; Euphorbiaceae
Source: RNAcentral